AGGGGAUGGGAGGCGAAAGGGGUAGGAGGAGGAGGAUGGGAGGCGAAGGGGUAGGAGGAAGAGGAUGGGAGGUGAAGGGGUAGGAGGAAGAGGAUGGGAGGUGAAGGGGUAGGAGGAGGAAGAGGAUGGGAGGUGAAGGGGUAGGAGGAGGAGGAUGGGAGGUGAAGGGGUAGGAGGAGGAGGAUGGGAGGCGAAGGGGUAGGAGGAGGAGGAUGGGAGGUGAAGGGGUAGGAGGAGGAGGAUGGGAGGUGAAGGGGUAGGAGGAAGAGGAUGGGAGGUGAAGGGGUAGGAGGAAGAGGAUGGGAGGCGAAGGGGUAGGAGGAGGAAGAUGGGAGGCGAAGGGGUAGGAGGAGGAAGAGGAUGGGAGGCGAGGAGGAUGGGAGGCGAAUGGGUAGGAGGAGGAGGAUGGGAGGCGAAGGGGUAGGAGGAGGAAGAGGAUGGGAGGCGAAGGGGUAGGAGGAGGAAGAGGAUGGGAGGCGAAGGGGUAGGAGGAGGAAGAGGAUGGGAGGUGAAGGGGUAGGAGGAGGAAGAGGAUGGGAGGAGAAGGGGUAGGAGGAGGAAGAGGAUGGGAGGUGAAGGGGUAGGAGGAGGAAGAGGAUGGGAGGCGAAGGGGUAGGAGGAGGAGGAGGAUGGGAGGUGAAGGGGUAGGAGGAGGAAGAGGAUGGGAGGCGAAGGGGUAGGAGGAGGAAGAGGAUGGGAGGUGAAGGGGUAGGAGGAGGAAGAGGAUGGGAGGCGAAGGGGUAGGAGGAGGAAGAGGAUGGGAGGUGAAGGGGUAGGAGGAGGAAGAGGAUGGGAGGCGAAGGGGUAGGAGGAGGAAGAGGAUGGGAGGCGAAGGGGUAGGAGGAGGAAGAGGAUGGGAGGCGAAGGGGUAGGAGGAGGAAGAGGAUGGGAGGCGAAGGGGUGGAGGAUCAAAUAUUUUUUUAUAUCAACAGUUGUCACAUAGUGCUUUACAGACAGACAGCCUCACACUCCAAACAGCAACCAAUGCAGAUGAGGAAGCACAGUGUCUAGGAAAAACUCCCUAGAAGGCAGGAACCUAGGAAGAAACCUAGAGGGGAACCCGGC
This is a long non-coding RNA of Oncorhynchus keta (chum salmon), 1065 nucleotides long. RefSeq lists it as uncharacterized. NCBI's taxonomy places the organism in Eukaryota, Metazoa, Chordata, Actinopteri, Salmoniformes, Salmonidae. The transcript is spliced from 4 exons. The record is from RefSeq and is a predicted model, not a curated record.